RNAcentral lists this ribosomal RNA (1550 nucleotides) under Escherichia coli. Its description in RNAcentral is "partial 23S ribosomal RNA". It matches the Rfam family "Bacterial large subunit ribosomal RNA", at positions 1282 to 2817 of the family's 2925-position model. Lineage: Bacteria; Pseudomonadati; Pseudomonadota; Gammaproteobacteria; Enterobacterales; Enterobacteriaceae. The record is from RNAcentral.
UCAGAAGUGCGAAUGCUGACAUAAGUAACGAUAAAGCGGGUGAAAAGCCCGCUCGCCGGAAGACCAAGGGUUCCUGUCCAACGUUAAUCGGGGCAGGGUGAGUCGACCCCUAAGGCGAGGCCGAAAGGCGUAGUCGAUGGGAAACAGGUUAAUAUUCCUGUACUUGGUGUUACUGCGAAGGGGGGACGGAGAAGGCUAUGUUGGCCGGGCGACGGUUGUCCCGGUUUAAGCGUGUAGGCUGGUUUUCCAGGCAAAUCCGGAAAAUCAAGGCUGAGGCGUGAUGACGAGGCACUACGGUGCUGAAGCAACAAAUGCCCUGCUUCCAGGAAAAGCCUCUAAGCAUCAGGUAACAUCAAAUCGUACCCCAAACCGACACAGGUGGUCAGGUAGAGAAUACCAAGGCGCUUGAGAGAACUCGGGUGAAGGAACUAGGCAAAAUGGUGCCGUAACUUCGGGAGAAGGCACGCUGAUAUGUAGGUGAAGUCCCUCGCGGAUGGAGCUGAAAUCAGUCGAAGAUACCAGCUGGCUGCAACUGUUUAUUAAAAACACAGCACUGUGCAAACACGAAAGUGGACGUAUACGGUGUGACGCCUGCCCGGUGCCGGAAGGUUAAUUGAUGGGGUUAGCGCAAGCGAAGCUCUUGAUCGAAGCCCCGGUAAACGGCGGCCGUAACUAUAACGGUCCUAAGGUAGCGAAAUUCCUUGUCGGGUAAGUUCCGACCUGCACGAAUGGCGUAAUGAUGGCCAGGCUGUCUCCACCCGAGACUCAGUGAAAUUGAACUCGCUGUGAAGAUGCAGUGUACCCGCGGCAAGACGGAAAGACCCCGUGAACCUUUACUAUAGCUUGACACUGAACAUUGAGCCUUGAUGUGUAGGAUAGGUGGGAGGCUUUGAAGUGUGGACGCCAGUCUGCAUGGAGCCGACCUUGAAAUACCACCCUUUAAUGUUUGAUGUUCUAACGUUGGCCCCUGAUCGGGGUUGCGGACAGUGUCUGGUGGGUAGUUUGACUGGGGCGGUCUCCUCCUAAAGAGUAACGGAGGAGCACGAAGGUUGGCUAAUCCUGGUCGGACAUCAGGAGGUUAGUGCAAUGGCAUAAGCCAGCUUGACUGCGAGCGUGACGGCGCGAGCAGGUGCGAAAGCAGGUCAUAGUGAUCCGGUGGUUCUGAAUGGAAGGGCCAUCGCUCAACGGAUAAAAGGUACUCCGGGGAUAACAGGCUGAUACCGCCCAAGAGUUCAUAUCGACGGCGGUGUUUGGCACCUCGAUGUCGGCUCAUCACAUCCUGGGGCUGAAGUAGGUCCCAAGGGUAUGGCUGUUCGCCAUUUAAAGUGGUACGCGAGCUGGGUUUAGAACGUCGUGAGACAGUUCGGUCCCUAUCUGCCGUGGGCGCUGGAGAACUGAGGGGGGCUGCUCCUAGUACGAGAGGACCGGAGUGGACGCAUCACUGGUGUUCGGGUUGUCAUGCCAAUGGCACUGCCCGGUAGCUAAAUGCGGAAGAGAUAAGUGCUGAAAGCAUCUAAGCACGAAACUUGCCCCGAGAUGAGUUCUCCCUG